Long non-coding RNA from Betta splendens (Siamese fighting fish), 2366 nucleotides. RefSeq lists it as uncharacterized. NCBI's taxonomy places the organism in Eukaryota, Metazoa, Chordata, Actinopteri, Anabantiformes, Osphronemidae. The record is from RefSeq and is a predicted model, not a curated record. The transcript is spliced from 2 exons.
CGGGAGUCGCGCAUCAGCAGGCGACGGGGCGACGAGCAGCCACGACGCGAGCGGAACCUGGUACCGACCUGAGGGCGUCCUGCAGAACGGGAGCAGCGCCACUUUGGGACCUGCUGGAGGAUAAACACACAGACCUUUUGACUUUUGUAGAAAUUUCCACUCCCUUUUCUUCAUACAUCUUCCUUCUCGCUACCCCCCACCCCCCACCGCCACCCCUCACCCCGUUCUUUCUGCACUAUUCUGCUUUGGAGAAAACCCAAAGAAUCCACAUGUGUGAGGAGCUGUUGAGGAGCAGACAAGGACGAAUAAAGUUUUAAGUAAAGUAAUUAGAGGAGAGCUCGUGUUAAAAUGUAUGUUUAUCAUUAUAAACGCUGAAAAUCCAAUACAACUCUCCACUCCUGCCUUUUCAUCAUCACUUUACAGUCUCAGCAAACAGGAAGUAGAAAAACCAAAUACUGCAUCACCGUGUUAACCAGACAGUAGUCACGUCAGCAGCGUGUCGUUCUCGUUUUGUCCACAGAGUGGCAGCACUGAACAGGAAAAGGUGGGAAAGGUUAUAAAUAUGAUCAGACACUCAGUCUGUGUCAAAAAAUCAAUUGUACUUGACUUUGGGACAAUCUGUGUCAUAAUAAUAGCUAUGAAAUAGAAAUAGGCAUAAUUCAGUUAUUUGCAUCAUGUCUUUUCAUAAAGGUACAUGAAUAAACUAAACUAAUUUUAGAAUUUAUGGGAGUAUAUGUUGCAAAGUCACUACACCUGUGGGUUAUAAAUAUGUAGAACAUUUCAUUGCUUUUUGCAGUGGUGGCUGAAAUAUUUAAGUCUAGACCAGCCAGCUGACAUUAUUAUCCUAGAGCCACUCAGUUGGAGCGGGUACAUCUAUACUAUGAAGCUAUGAUCUGAUUUUCAGUCACUUCCAUUAGGAAUACGUUUAAACGGGUAGACGGCUCCUCACUGUUUAAUUAACCUGUAUUACUUAUGUUCUUUUUUUAAUGACUCUGAUGAAAUAUAAAUACUCAAAUCCAAAACUGAUUUCACAUAACUCAGCGAAUGACUCACACAGACUCCAGAGGUCACUUUGCAGUUUAUUACGAUAAAUCUUAAUAUUUUUAUACAUCCAUACAGAAAUUGCAAAAUAAUUUUUGGUGUGUGUAAACAACUUUGGACCGAAGCAUCAGUCAAAAAUAAACCAUAGGGAAAACAGCACAGGCAGGAAUGGAGGAAUGACGGGGUGCGUGUGAAGCGUGGCCCCACGUGCUCCUGUCGCCCGUCACACUGGACGAUGGAGCCUCUGCACCGACGCAUCAAAGCUACUCAGAAUCAUCCAGGUCAGCGUCGGGGUCCACAGCACGUGACGAUGAGCGCACACAUUUAUAUCAGGGCAUAUUAAGGCGUUCGAGAUGAGUGUGCGUGGAGGUUGCGGUGCAGAGCGUCUACUCAGCGGAGCCUGUGGUCGCUCGGUCUUUUAAUGGAACAAACAACAUGUCAGCUAUUUGCACAAUCACCGCAAACACAGAAGCGUUUCUCGACAGCGGAGGUUUUGGCAGUGUUCGUCGGUAGUCAGGAGAACUACGCUCAAGUCUGUGCCGCAGGAGAAUGAACCUGGCGAGGAUUUGUGUAUAUUAAUUCCAUAAGCGCUCCUAGAAAAAUAUUUCAUUUAAUGCAGCAUUGUGCCUGUGCAAAAUGAAACAAGUUGCACAAGGUUGAAUUGUGAUUAUUUCCCUCGUUCGUUUGCACCAGGCUCAGGUUUCACUUUACUCGUUGGUGAUUUUUAUUAUUACAACUAUUAAAGCAAACCUCUAUGAAGAGCUCACUAAUCCUUCACACUAAAUACACUUCUCAUAUUACUUCGUGUCCAAAUCGCACCUGGGCGACUCUCUUGAGCUUUGUUGAAACCCUGAGGAGAAAUCUUUAGUUUAAACUUUUAAAAUAUUCUAUGCUCAAUUUGAUUUUGGACAUUAUUUUGAACGUAUGUUGACUUUUAAUUUAGCCACUUUUUAUUUUUGAGGAUUAGUUUGUCCUCAAAGUUGAACAACAUGAACAAGUGUUCAAUUACAAAGUAAUAGAGGUUUGAAAACAACUUGAUUUUUAGGUGUGAAGAUUUUUGGAUGUCAAAACCAUGGUACAAUCAUUGUCUUUGUAUAAUAUAUAGAUAAUAUAUAGAUACUAAUACAAAACUAAUAGUCUAAAGGUGGCAUGCUUGAGCAGGCAGCAAAGAAAAGGAGGACCACGUCUCCUUUUCUUAUGAUUUAAACGCUUUUACUUUCACAACAUGGAGGUAAAGUUUGUAGCAGAGAGGCUCUAAAAGGGUCCAAAUUUUGAUCACUGGGGAAAAUUUCGCACGACAGCAGGAAGGAAUUUUAAAAAUCAAC